Molecule: long non-coding RNA, 1405 nt
Organism: Gorilla gorilla gorilla (western lowland gorilla)
Lineage: Eukaryota; Metazoa; Chordata; Mammalia; Primates; Hominidae
Exons: 2
Source: RefSeq, a predicted model, not a curated record
CUUUCACCUAGGCCCUCUGGGUGCCCAUAUCAGAAUGACUGACCAAAGGGCAGUUGGCAGAAGGACCACUGUCCUAACAAAGGCCUUCAGACUCACUGGAGAAAAAACAAGGUGCUUUGACCACCACUUAUUGGGAUGACAACACAGUCAUCAUCAAUCAAAGUAGACUUGUAGAUUAAAGGUUGACCUACUUCCUGGUAAUUACCUAUAGCCAAUAUAAUAUAUACUUUAAAUAAUGUAUUGAUUUCACUAGCUGAAAUUAAAAGAAAUCCAAAGGCACCCCGUUCUUGGUUACAUGUGACUGUCUACCUGAUGCUACUUAAUUAACUAGACUGAGUCUCCUUUAAAUGACUUACUGUUUGAAUUUUGUGGAAAUCCCGGCAAGGAGGAUGGACCGUUCAUUCCGGGGAGAAGGACUGGAGGAAGGCCGGGGAGUCCGGGGUAGGCUGCUGGCAGGCUGAUGCCGUGGAGAGAACUGCUGUCCAUCAUGCCUGGCUGCUGUACCGUCAAGCCCAGCACGUCUGAAGCUUUCUUUAUACGAUCAAGUUCUUGCUGUGCCAUCAGCUGCCGAACCGUGGUCGGAGCCAAGUAAUCUUUCUCCCGAUCGAGCUGACUGCCAACGGUCUCCCUCACUUUUGAAAUGUGCUGUUUGGAGAAAAUGUGAUCUCUGAUGGACAAGCGGGCAGAGUACUUCACCCCGCAGAGGGUACACUCUGGUUUGGUGCCUUCCGUUCCGCCUUGAUUGAUCAUGAAAGGCUUCCCUAUGUUAAUUUUAAAUUUCUUUUCCUUUGCCCUUGCAUUUUGGAACCACACCUGGACCACGCGUUUGGGCAGACCAAUCUCAUUCCCUAACAUUUCACAUUCUUGCAUGGUUGGAGUUCGGUAGUCACUAAAGCAAGCCUUGAGAACCUUGAGUUGAAGAUUGCUCAUUUGAGUUCGAAAACGCUUGUGACCCGGCCGAUCAUUACUUUUGGAUUUAAAGGGAUUGCUGGAUCCGAAUGGAUUUGGGGAGCUCGGGUCCGCUAUGCUGGACGUUUCGCUGCGGUCGGCGUUGUCAUCCGGGUCAUCUGUGAUGUAAAAGCUUUGGUCGUGGUCGCCAUCUUUGUCAUUGAAAUGGAUGGAUGGGCUUGUGAGAGAAAAGAGAAAUUUGUCAUCGCAGACCUCCGUGGUAGGUGUGGUUGCGGGUUUUGGCAGAGUAUCCAGAGUUUUUGGCUCUUUGGGAGACAAAGCCGGUUUCACAUCUCCGGAACUUCCUGUGGUGCUUUCCAUUUCAGUGUUUCCCUCGUCUCCGGUGGUGGCGUCACUGAUUGCCGUAUUAAUCGAUGAAGUCUCAUCAAAAUCGGUUUUAUUUUGAUCAUACCCAGCCUCAGCAGGAGGGGCAUUUAAAUUCUCUACAUCCUCAGAA